RNAcentral lists this ribosomal RNA (403 nucleotides) under bacterium. RNAcentral describes it as "partial 16S ribosomal RNA". It matches the Rfam family "Bacterial small subunit ribosomal RNA", at positions 355 to 776 of the family's 1533-position model. The record is from RNAcentral. RNAcentral also lists the same sequence under 2 other names.
UGGGGAAUAUUGCACAAUGGGGGAAACCCUGAUGCAGCGACGCCGCGUGAACGAAGAAGGUAUUCGUAUCGUAAAGUUCUGUCCUAUGGGAAGAUAAUGACAGUACCAUAGAAGAAAGCUCCGGCUAAAUACGUGCCAGCAGCCGCGGUAAUACGUAUGGAGCGAGCGUUGUCCGGAAUUAUUGGGCGUAAAGGGUACGCAGGCGGUUUAAUAAGUCGAAUGUUAAAGAUCGGGGCUCAACCCCGUAAAGCAUUGGAAACUGAUAAACUUGAGUAGUGGAGAGGAAAGUGGAAUUCCUAGUGUAGUGAUGAAAUACGUAGAUAUUAGGAGGAAUACCAGUAGCGAAGGCGACUUUCUGGACACAAACUGACGCUGAGGUACGAAAGCGUGGGGAGCAAACAGG